GGGGCUGUGGAUUGUGGAAGGCUCACAGGUGCCUCUCUGUCCUGGAGCUACAGCCUGUCCUGCCAGCUGGAGCCCCAGACCUAGUUGGCCAGCAGAAUACUCAAGGCCAAGAAGAAAUGGCCGUCAUCAAGGUCAGGGGUGAGUGAGUGU
Non-coding RNA from Ceratotherium simum simum (southern white rhinoceros), 150 nucleotides. The record is from RefSeq and is a predicted model, not a curated record. NCBI's taxonomy places the organism in Eukaryota, Metazoa, Chordata, Mammalia, Perissodactyla, Rhinocerotidae.